UGCUCUUGUCAGAUCUCGUAAGUUAAAUACCGCUGGAUCUGGUCAGUAAUUGGAUGGAAGACCUCUGAGGAAAACAAGUGCUGAAGUAA
This 89-nucleotide ribosomal RNA is filed under the name Dromaius novaehollandiae (emu). Lineage: Eukaryota; Metazoa; Chordata; Aves; Casuariiformes; Dromaiidae. The record is from RNAcentral.